CGUCGCGGGCCGGAUGGGAAAGGCCGGGAGCGCCGGCGGGAGGCGGGACGGCCGCGGGCUCUGCGCCCGCCCUCGGCGCGGACCCUGGGCCCCGACCCCGCGGUCGCCGGGGCUCCCCUUCCUCUGUCCCAGUGCGCCCAGCCCCGCGCUCCGCACCCGGGCACCCCCGCGGGGUUCUCCUGAGUUCCUGGAGCUCCCGGGGCUGGCGCUCACGCCGUGAGAGGGGUGCGCCCUUAGGGGGGCGGGACGGACGGGGGGUUUCUACGGGAGGUAGGAAACGGGCGGCUUGCAAGGCGCGGGCUUAGGCCGGAGCCUGGUGGUGCGAGGUCCCCAGCUCGGAUUUCUCCCUGGUGGAGAGUCCCGGAGCAGAACAAACCAGCAGAGGCUCUGGAAAGGGUCCUCCUGAGCACGUGGCUCAUUCAUUCAUUCGACAAACGUUACCUGAGCGCCUGCCCACUCAUUGCCCGAGUGUGCUGGGAGCGCCGCACCAACUGCCUGGUAGGUGGGAGAAGGGACACGUCAGGUAACAAACAGCACAGGUAAGUGCCGGCCACUCAAAUGGGGUGGAAAGAGGUGGCACAGCGCUGCCGAGGGAGUGCGUUCCAGACAGGUGACCUCUUGCUUGGGUGCUGAAUGAGUGGAGUUUUCCAGAGAGACCAAGAGGAAGCAGCCGCAGAAACCUCAGCCCAGCUGGGCUUGCAGAAGCUAAUGCUAGAAUAGUUGUGGGACUCAGGAUCUGCUGAAGUCGGGGGAAGAGAGAAGUAGGGAAAGGAAAGCCCAGGCCACGCGUGGGGCUCAGGAACGGCAUCCUCGCCCGAGAAAAGAGAGGUUAAAACCAAGACAUGGACAAAGCCUCCGAAUGAAGGCAGCCCUUUAAAUGGAAUAAAUUUGGUUUCAUGGCACAUUAAUGGGGUGUCUUCUCUCCGAAGACACAGAGACAACUACAGUAGGUCUGGGGGCCGUCAGGGAUUGGAGGAACGAAGGUAAGAAAAGGAAGAAGGUAAGAAAAAGAGGUCCCUACCUCUGUGAGGUAGGGACAGUGCUGAACAGCAGGGCUGGGAGAGCCCACAGGGAGGUGGCCAGGAUGGCCACAGGGCCUGGGGAGGACCAGGUGGGGCACCAUCCUGCGGUAGAGAAUGCCCGUCACCUGCCCUAGGGGCCACCCAGAAUGCAGAUUAAAUAAGUAUUUGGGAAUGGCACAGGAGCUUUUCCAUUUUCGUGGGUUAGAGGAAAGCUGCUGCGUUCAAGAGGAUAACGUGGGACCUGAGCAUUCUGGUAAGUCAACCCCACAUUCAUGGAAAGCCACGGGCUCUGUUUUACUGAUAAGGAACUGAAGUCCCACAGAGGAAGUGGCCAGGCUCACUCACACACAGCAUGCACUUGAAGCUUUCUGUGGAAAUCAGAAACCUCCGGGGCUCAGGCGCUGUAGUGGUGGCCUGGUGACUCUGACCCCUUGAAGGAGAAGCAUCUGUGAAGGUGCUGUCCAGGACAAGUAGGGUGCUCUACGGUAAAGGACAUGGUGGCCUGACCUGCUCCAGAGCAGGGAGGCCUCCCUUGAGGAAAUAAGAUAAACCCAGACUUUAAGGAUAAGCAGAAACCAGCUAGGUGAACUGGAGUGGGAACAGCACGUGAAAAGGCCCUGGUUUAGGAAGGAGCACCACUCCUUCAGAGCACAGAAAGGCCAGGAUGGCCGAAGCAUAGGGAACAACAGGAAAGUGACAUAAAUUGAGGCUGCAGAGGUAGAAGAAGGGCCUUAUUGGUCGUGCUAGGAAUUUGGAAUUCUGCAAAGAAGCCUGGGAAACAGAUUUUGGUGACACUCGCCUUCUCUUUAAUGUGCAGUUUCAGUUCUGUUGGUGUGAUUCUGCAUUGGAGAUGGCGUGCUGUAACGAAUGGCCAGGAGCUUAAGAGUCAUGCAGACUUGGGAGGCCUGGCCUUGCCACGCCCAGCUGCAUGGCCAUCCUCCUCCUGUUUCUGGCCGUUCUGUUUCUAAACCUUGGGGUUCUGAUAUUCCUACAUGUAAACUAGGGGCUGUAAUAGGAAUCUCACAGGUGAGUCUUAGGAUUAUAAGAGGAGACAUGACUGCAUGUGUAAGACAUCAUAAUGAUGUGCUUCCUCAUCUGACCCUACCUCCAGGUUCUUUGAUAACCUCAUGGUUCCCAUUUUCUAGAACAGUUGCCACUUGCACUCAGAUAAAGGUGACUCACUGAAUGCAUAAAUAAGUGUAGUGCCGGAUUUGCAUACUUUUGGUAGACUGUCAUAUAAUAAAUUUAUAAAUCAGAAUUUUAAAACUCCAGGUGGGGCCGGGCACAGUGGCCCAUGCUUGUAAUCCCAGCCAGCAUUUUGGGAGGCUGAGGCAGGCAGAUCACUUGAGGUCAGGAGCUCGAGGUCAGCCUGGCCAACCAGGGUUUUAGUAGAAACCCUGUCUGUACUAAAAAUACAAAAAUUAGCUGGGCGUGGGUGCGCAUACCUGUAGUCCCAGCUACUCAGGAGGCUGAGGCAGGAGAAUUGUUUGAACCCAGGAGGUGGAGAUUGCAGUGAAGCAAGAUCGCACCGCUGCACUCCUGCCUGGGUGACAGAGUGAGACUCCAUCUCAAAAACAAACAAAACAAAACUCCAGGUGGACCACGGGCCAGGUGGUUGUAGCUUCAGUCCCUUGAUUGCAACAUGUGCCCAAGUUUGGCUGAGAUGUACCUGUAGCCACGGUCCUUGAAGCCCUGAGAAGAUUUGUCAGCAUCCCCACGGUGCUCCAGCAGUGCUCUCAUCUUGUGGCUCUAAAUCGAGUCCAUGGCCCUCUCUCACUGUCCUAUGGUUGCAUAAGCUCAGAACUGGCUUCGUCUCCAAUUCCAGGAGCCCUGGAGGUUGUGGCCUGUUGACAUUUUUACCUCCUGAGUCAAUGUGGCUGGGCCACAGGUCUCAGUUGCCCUCCCAGGCAUCUUGCAGGACUUGGAUCUGUGCCAAGCUUGUGGGUGUGAACAAGCCCAAGAAUGCUGAGGCUCUCAGUUGCUCAGUGCUGCCCAUCACUGGGAUUUCAGAGUAGUGACCCCCCUCCUCCAAGAUACAACAGAAUCUUGCUUUGGGGCCAUGAAGAACACAAUCAAUAUUACAGUUUUAAAUCUUGAAAAGUACAGUUUUAAUUUUUUUAAUUCCAAAAAAUUUCACACAUGUGCACUGCAAAUUCAGGAGGUAAAUUCAGCAAAAUCUUGCCUGGUGGAGGUACCAGAAGGCACAGUGAGUCAAUGGGGCAUGUUUCUCAGUCGGUGGGGAGAGAUGAGAAUGGAACAGGGAUGUGGAGAUUUUAUGCAGGAAAAGGGGCCUGACCACAGAUUUUUUGCCCUUUGAAAGGAGAGGAACAAGGCCUAUGCCCACUGCCUCUUGGAUUCAGUGGGAGAUCUGGGCAUCAUACUGGAUGACCAGGCAUGUAGUCACAAUGCACAAUGCCACCCAGCCCAAAAGUGUAUAUUCAAGACUUUAGACCCAACUUCGUGCUUACAGGAAAUAGAGGAGGUUGAGGAACAAGUGACACCAUAAGAAAUACAGUGAAACAGGCCAGGCACCGUGGCUCAUGCCUGUAACUCUGAGCACUUUGGGAGGCCGAGAUGGGCAGAUCACCUGAGGUCAGGAGUUCAAGACUAGUCUGGCCAACGUGGUGAAACCCCAUCUCUACUAAAAAAAAAUAUCUGGGCAUGGUGGCAGGCACCUGUAAUCCCAGCUACUCAAGAGGCUGAGGCAUGAGAAGCACUGGAACCCGGGAGGCCGAGGUUGCAGUGAACAGAGAUCGUGCCAUUGCACUCCAGCCUGGGGGAACAAGAGUGAAACUCCAUCUCAAAAAAAAAAAAAAAAGACACUGAAACAAAGCCAGAAGGUAGAAUAUUCUUUCAGGUAGUAGUCUGGUCUCUUCAAUAGUCAAUAUUAUAGAGCAAGAAGGGGCCAGUGGAGAAGAGCUGUUCUAGAUUUUAAAAGAUGUAAGAAAUACAACAUUUGGCCGGGCGCGGUGGCUCACGCCUGUCAUCCCAGCACUUAGGUAGGCCGAGGUGGGCGGAUCAUGAGGUCAGGAGAUCGAGACCAUCCUGGCUAACAUGGUGAAACCCCGUCUCUACUAAAAAUAGAAAAAAUUAGCCGGGCAUGGUGGCAUGCACCUGUAGUCCCAGCUACUCAGGAGGUUGAGGCAGGAGAAUGGCGUGAACCCGGGAGGCGGAGCUUGCAGUGAGCCGAGAUCGCGCCACUGCACUCCAGCCUGGGUGACAGAGCAAGACUCCAUCUCAAAAAAAGAAAAGAAAAGAAAUACAACAUUUAAAUGCACUGUGUUAUCCUUAAUUGGAAACUGCUUUAAUUAUCCAACACUAAAAAAAUGUCAAGGGCAAGAGGUGGUUUGAACUAUGGACUGGUGUUAGAUGAUGUAUUUUUUUUAUUUUGUUAAGUAUAAUAAUAGUUGUUAUGGUUAGGUGGGAAAAGAUCCUUAAAUUUUAGAGCUGCAUGCUGGAGUAUUUAGAAGUGAACCGUCAUUGUAUUUGUUAUUUAAAAUACUACAGGAAUAAACAAGAUGAAGCAAAA
This is a long non-coding RNA of Homo sapiens (human), 4551 nucleotides long. RefSeq lists it as uncharacterized. The transcript is spliced from 2 exons. NCBI's taxonomy places the organism in Eukaryota, Metazoa, Chordata, Mammalia, Primates, Hominidae. The record is from RefSeq and is a predicted model, not a curated record.